UACGUAGGGGGCAAGCGUUGUCCGGAAUCAUUGGGCGUAAAGCGCGUGUAGGCGGUUUGGUAAGUCCGCUCUGAAAGUCCGGGGCUCAACCCCGGGAGGCGGGUGGAUACUGUCAGACUAGAGUGCGGAAGAGGCGAGUGGAAUUCCCGGUGUAGCGGUGAAAUGCGCAGAUAUCGGGAGGAACACCAAUUGCGAAGGCAGCUCGCUGGGACGUGACUGACGCUAAGACGCGACAGCAUGGGGAGCGAACGGG
RNAcentral lists this ribosomal RNA (253 nucleotides) under uncultured bacterium. RNAcentral describes it as "partial 16S ribosomal RNA". It matches the Rfam family "Bacterial small subunit ribosomal RNA", at positions 524 to 776 of the family's 1533-position model. The record is from RNAcentral.